GAGCACCCCUAAGCUAUGUUCGGCCUUUGUACUGAGAGAGGAAGUUGCAUCUUUGGGUGGACACAGCCUGUGGCUCCUGUUGUACAAAGGUAAAGACUUCCUUUGCACCAAGGGACGGGGUGGUGAGCAGAGCAGGCUGGAUUUCUCCAUCAGCCCUCCUCCUUGUGUAGUCAGUCAUUGUACACCCUGAACAACCUUCUCCGCAACCCCCAUUUCUCACUAUUCACUUUCAACACGCCUUAAAGGAUCCAGUCCUUCGCCAGCCCGGGAGGGGUCUCUGCCGGACUCGAUGGCUUCUCUGGCCUGUUUCCCUCAUGGGGGCGAUCUUGUAGCUUAUGCAAAGUCUAGUCUAUGGGAAUAGUAAAACCCCACGCUUCCCCAGUCUCAGAUCCUCUUCCAUGCACACCACAUGCUUGUCUGAGACCUGGAACCCGAAGCUGGAAGAGAGCAUGGUCAACUUUUUCUCCAUUUUUUCCACGUGCUGUUCUUCUCCUGCUUCUCAUUCACCAGUGGUUUUGAUCCUUGCAGGGCCAGGCCCAGGAGAAGAAUGGAUUGGAGAAGGGACACCAUGUUUCACAGCUGUGACAUUUGCCAUCGGGCCUCAGGACACCCAAUGGCAGAGGUCCUGGCAGGUGGUCCUGAGGAUCCUGCCAGGAAGAGAUGACUACUCCUUAGCAACUCUUGCUUUAUUACUGGCCUUGGGACAUCGUCAGCAUGGAGAUACUUUGACAUCCCACUGUAUGUGA
This 746-nucleotide long non-coding RNA is filed under the name Papio anubis (olive baboon). RNAcentral's name for it is "lncRNA (ENSPANG00000048370.1)". The record is from RNAcentral. Lineage: Eukaryota; Metazoa; Chordata; Mammalia; Primates; Cercopithecidae.